This 269-nucleotide ribosomal RNA is filed under the name uncultured prokaryote. RNAcentral's name for it is "partial 16S ribosomal RNA". It matches the Rfam family "Bacterial small subunit ribosomal RNA", at positions 524 to 792 of the family's 1533-position model. The record is from RNAcentral.
UACGAGGGGGGCGAGUGUUGUUCGGAAUUACUGGGCGUAAAGGGAGCGUAGGCGGGAGUUUAAGUCGGAUGUUUAAUCCCGGGGCCUAACCCCGGACUGGCGUCUGAAACUGGAUUUCUUGAAUACAACAGAGGUGGAUGGAAUUCCCGGUGUAGCGGUGGAAUGCGUAGAUAUCGGGAGGAACACCGGCAGCGAAGGCGAUCCACUGGGUUGAUAUUGACGCUGAGGCUCGAAAGUGUGGGGAGCGAACAGGAUUAGAUACCCGCGUA